This 335-nucleotide ribosomal RNA is filed under the name uncultured microorganism. RNAcentral's name for it is "bacterial SSU rRNA". It matches the Rfam family "Bacterial small subunit ribosomal RNA", at positions 9 to 342 of the family's 1533-position model. The record is from RNAcentral.
GAGUUUAAUCGUGGCUCAGAUUGAACGCUGGCGGCAUGCCUUACACAUGCAAGUCGAACGGCAGCAUGAUCUAGCUUGCUAGAUUGAUGGCGAGUGGCGAACGGGUGAGUAAUACAUCGGAACGUGCCCUGUAGUGGGGGAUAACUAGUCGAAAGAUUAGCUAAUACCGCAUACGACCUGAGGGUGAAAGUGGGGGACCGCAAGGCCUCAUGCUAUAGGAGCGGCCGAUGGUCUGAUUAGCUAGUUGUGGGUAAAGGCCACCAAGGCGACGAUCAGUAGCUGGUCUGAGAGGACGAUCAGCCACACUGGGACUGAGACACGGCCCAGACUCCUAC